This 492-nucleotide ribosomal RNA is filed under the name uncultured bacterium. Its description in RNAcentral is "partial 16S ribosomal RNA". It matches the Rfam family "Bacterial small subunit ribosomal RNA", at positions 29 to 507 of the family's 1533-position model. The record is from RNAcentral.
AGUGAACGCUGGCGGUAGGCCUAACACAUGCCAGUCGAACGGCAGCACAGUAAGAGCUUGCUCUUACGGGUGGCGAGUGGCGGACGGGUGAGGAAUACAUCGAAAUCUACUUUUUCGUGGGGGAUAACGUAGGGAAACUUACGCUAAUACCGCAUACGACCUACGGGUGAAAGCAGGGGAUCUUCGGACCUUGCGCGAUUGAAUGAGCCGAUGUCGGAUUAGCUAGUUGGCGGGGUAAAGGCCCACCAAGGCGACGAUCCGUAGCUGGUCUGAGAGGAUGAUCAGCCACACUGGAACUGAGACACGGUCCAGACUCCUACGGGAGGCAGCAGUGGGGAAUAUUGGACAAUGGGCGCAAGCCUGAUCCAGCCAUACCGCGUGGGUGAAGAAGGCCUUCGGGUUGUAAAGCCCUUUUGUUGGGAAAGAAAAGCAGCAGGUUAAUACCCCGCUGUUCUGACGGUACCCAAAGAAUAAGCACCGGCUAACUUCGUG